This 383-nucleotide ribosomal RNA is filed under the name Dromogomphus spoliatus. Its description in RNAcentral is "partial 16S ribosomal RNA". Lineage: Eukaryota; Metazoa; Arthropoda; Insecta; Odonata; Gomphidae. The record is from RNAcentral.
GUCCUCUUGUUUCUAUAUGAGGUCUGACCUGCCCGGUGAAAGUUAUUUUAACGGCCGCAGUAUUUUGACUGUGCAAAGGUAGCAUAAUCAUUAGUCUUUUAAUAGGGGGCUGGUAUGAAGGGUUUGACGAGGUGUUAACUGUCUCAUUUAAUUUGUGUUUAGAAUUUAACUUUUCAGUCAAAAGGCUGAAAUCUUAUUGGAAGACGAGAAGACCCUAUAGAGCUUUAUAAUUAAUGCAUUAAUUAUUUUUUGUUAUAUCAUUUAUUAUUAUUGUUUUAAUUAUUUUGUUGGGGUGACAAAAAUAUAUAAUUAACUUUUUUAUUUACAUAACAUUGAUUUAUGAAUAUUAGAUCCAUUAUUAUUGAUUGUUAGAUUAAGUUACC